This 468-nucleotide ribosomal RNA is filed under the name uncultured bacterium. RNAcentral describes it as "partial 16S ribosomal RNA". It matches the Rfam family "Bacterial small subunit ribosomal RNA", at positions 28 to 507 of the family's 1533-position model. The record is from RNAcentral.
GACGAACGCUGGCGGCGUGCUUAACACAUGCAAGUCGAACGGAAAGGCCCUGCUUUUGUGGGGUGCUCGAGUGGCGAACGGGUGAGUAACACGUGAGUAACCUGCCCUUGACUUUGGGAUAACUUCAGGAAACUGGGGCUAAUACCGGAUAGGAGCUCCUGCUGCAUGGUGGGGGUUGGAAAGUUUCGGCGGUUGGGGAUGGACUCGCGGCUUAUCAGCUUGUUGGUGGGGUAGUGGCUUACCAAGGCUUUGACGGGUAGCCCGCCUGAGAGGGUGACCGGCCACAUUGGGACUGAGAUACGGCCCAGACUCCUACGGGAGGCAGCAGUAGGGAAUAUUGCACAAUGGGCGGAAGCCUGAUGCAGCAACGCCGCGUGCGGGAUGACGGCCUUCGGGUUGUAAACCGCUUUCGCCUGUGACGAAGCGUGAGUGACGGUAAUGGGUAAAGAAGCACCGGCUAACUACGUG